RNAcentral lists this long non-coding RNA (2316 nucleotides) under Homo sapiens (human). RNAcentral's name for it is "HSALNT0301951". The record is from RNAcentral. Lineage: Eukaryota; Metazoa; Chordata; Mammalia; Primates; Hominidae.
GACCCUCGGGCCUUUGGCCACAGACUGAAGGCUGCACUGUCAGUUUCCCUACUUUUGAGGUUUUGGGACUCAGACUGAUCUGCCACUGGCUUCCUUGGUCCUCAACUAGCAGACAGCCUAUCAUGGAACUUUACCUUGUGAUGGUAAUAACGUAGAUGACAGGAAGAAAUAGCAUUUGAAAAAAAUUGCAUGCUUGAAAAAGUGGAACAAUACUAACCAGUGCCUAAGAGGGGCACAAAACUGUCUAUACUUUUUACACUUCAAUGGAUGUGAAAUAAUUACAUCUUAUGGAAUCAGAAUUUCAGAGUUCAAAGAAAUAUUAAUGGUCUUUCAGGCUACGAAUAAGAAAACUGAGAAGAAUACUAGAGAACAAAUACAAACGAGAUAAACACAUCAGAGAGGACAUCAGAAGAUGAUUACUACAAAUCAUUGGAACAUAAGAAGGAGUGAUAAUGGGUUUAGCAAAAAAGGAAGAAGCUUCAAUAUAAAAUACUCUUAUAGUAAGAUUCUCUUGACAAAGGAACUGCAGCUCUGCUUUUCAGAACUCUGGAAAGACUCAGAGAGGAUCUAAAAACAUCCUACAUGAUUAAUGGAACGCAUGAGAUGAGCUGGAAGGAGGGGGAAGAAGGAUUAAAUGUUCCAUCUCUCAACUUAUGACGGAGGAUCACAACAAUUGAGUGGUCAUUGUUGAGAUACUGAGAUCAUCUUAACAGAACUGCUGGUCUUCUGCCUAAUUAUCUUCCAUUAAACUUUCACAAAUAGAUAAUCCCUAUUCACACACAGAGAACUUUCAAUAGCUUUUCAUUGCUUCUUUCUUAAAUAAAAUUGCAUAACCAAUUGCACCAUAUGUUUAAGAAAAAAUUGCAACAUAAAAAUGAGAGACCAAAUAAUUAAACAUAAAAUUAUUCUUUGACAAAAACUAUGAUUGUUAAUAGAACAUAAUAUGGAAGACAUUUUAAGCAUUCUGAUAGAGAUUUCAGAUGACAUUCAUCAUUUCAAGACCAGCAUGUGAUGAAAAGCAUGUCAAACAAAUAAAAACAAAACAAAAAAGGACCCCACGUGAAAUAAAAUUUGAUUCUGGCAAAAUAAACUGAAUAUGUUUUUUUAAUAGGAAUGCCAUGAGAUAAAGUUAAAGAAAGAUCCAGAAAGUAGAAAAAAAAGAAAAUAUGGAGAAAAUGUGGAGAUCAAAAUCUAACUAAUAAAGAUUUCAGAGAGAAUUAAAAAAACAGAAAACAAUAAUUUCACAAAAAUACAGUAACAUUUUCCAGAACUGAGGAACAAAGUAAUAAUCCUUUUUAAAUGGAGAGAAGUCAUGAAUAAAUGAACCAAAAACAUGUAUCUAGAUGUACCCUCAUGGCAUUUCAGAAAACAAAAAUUAAAGGGAAUUUUUCAAGAAAAGUAAAGCAGGUCACAUACAAAGGACUGCAAAUCAGACUGGUAACAGAUUUUUUAAUCAAUACUCAAAGUUUCAGAAGGUGCACAGCAGUGUUUUCAACAUUCUGAGGGGAUUAAUUCUCAACCUACAAUUAUAUCCUUAAACUGCAUAGAAAACUACAUAGUAUAACUUUAGAUAGAAGGCAUUUUCAGACAAAGACCCAAAAAGUUUAUCUUUCCAAGACCCUUUUCUAAAAAGCUAUUUCAGGAUAUACUUCUGCAAAAUGAGGCAAUGCACCAGUAAAGAAGAAAACAAAGCCUUCAUAAAACUGUUGAUGCAGUUAAGGAGAAUAAUUAAGGGAACUUAAUUAGGUCAAGGGAGCUUAGUUAGGGUCUCAGGGAAAAGGAAUACUGGCAAGUCUUAGUGGGAAGCAUUAAAAGCAUUUAAAUAUGUAAGUGUAACAUCUGGGGGAAUUAUAAAGUAGAUGAUAUAAUCUUCAACGAUUUAAAAAUGAUAAAAUAAUUAUUAAUAAUUAUGAGGUGAAGGAAGGGAUACGGAAAGUCAUGACAUAAUGUAAAUUUUCACUAUAUUUUAUUGAGGUGGCAUGAUCAAUAAUGUUUAAAACUGAAACAUUCUGUUAUAAAAACAUAAGUUCUGGAUAUUUUGUUCACAUAUAAGUAGACACACACACACGCAUAUAUUUUUCUUUUUUCUAUAGAUCAGUUAGCCAAUAAUAGGUAUGUCAUGGACAAUUAGUAGUUCGGUAAUUAAGUUUCAGUCUAGUUUCUUUUCUCAAAUACAAAUAAGAUUAAAUAAAAUAAUUAGAUUGCCUUAGCCUAGGUGCCUAGAAAACAUACUGGGGCAAAGUUUACAUAUUAGUAAUGUAUUUGGAGUGCAAACUCAGGGCACCAAAAGUAAAAAAAAAGAAAGAAAGAAAGAGA